UGUUGUCAGCCUUGGAGCGAUGCGACUGGGAGCCGCGGCUCUGCCCGUUGCUGCGCGUCCCCGGCCGACUCAGCCCACGGGGAGUCCGUGUGUCCGCACCAGAUGACGAACGGAAACCCGGAACGGUUAAGGGCGGGUCCAUGUUCAUGUUCUGCAUACUAAGGAAAGGUGUGCUCUCCCCGUGAGCAUCCUCUUCCUCCUCCUCUUCCUCCUCCUCCUCUGACUCGCUGAAGCUCUGUGAGCUGUAGUCCCGUAGGCCCGCUGAACGCUGGGAGAUGUGUCCGUUGAGGCGGUUGCGACGCGGGCGUCGCCGGCUCCGGAUGGGUUCCCUUGAAGAGGCGUACUCCUGCGUGGUCUCGUAGGCCUCGUCGUCAGGGAGACGGUAGGGGCUUGAUGGUAGACUUCCUGUGCUCUCCGUCAGGUUGUUUAAAAGCAGUGUAUUGCUGCCCUCUGUGGUUGAAAGCUCCAAGCCUGUUGCACCUGGAUCCACAGGGUCCUGGAGGACAUCACUGCAGCAAGAUGAGACAUUAAACCACUGGAGAGAGAGACUUCAGUCAUGUUUGGAGACGCUGCCUGCCAGCCUAGAUAGAGUCCUGACUUAUAAAUAUGCCCUAGUUAGCCUGAGACCCCUGCUCCUUCCAGCCCGCUCGCUUUGUCCCCAAGUCCUGUUAUCUGUGUUCUGAAUAAAACUGAAUUACUGUUCAUCUA
Micropterus dolomieu (smallmouth bass) is the source of this 708-nucleotide long non-coding RNA. RefSeq lists it as uncharacterized. NCBI's taxonomy places the organism in Eukaryota, Metazoa, Chordata, Actinopteri, Centrarchiformes, Centrarchidae. The transcript is spliced from 3 exons. The record is from RefSeq and is a predicted model, not a curated record.